This 14054-nucleotide long non-coding RNA is filed under the name Manihot esculenta (cassava). RNAcentral's name for it is "long non-coding RNA (MESC_LNC000521)". The record is from RNAcentral. Lineage: Eukaryota; Viridiplantae; Streptophyta; Magnoliopsida; Malpighiales; Euphorbiaceae.
GACCUGCUUCCUCUUUUCCUACAACAACCACUCUCUUAAUCAGAGGGUCCUGUAUUAUACAACAAUUAGAGCAAAAGUUCAGACUUAAAGGUGAGGUAUAGAUCAAUUUACUCACUGAGAUAAUAUUGUAAUGAAAAUUUGGUAUAAAUAGAACAUUGUCAACUUGUAUGCAAUCAGAUAUAGUAAUUGAUCCUCUAUGGGUUAUCUUACGGGCAGUGCCACCAGGGAGAUUAACAUAAACAGUUUUAUUAAGUAUAAACAGUUUUAUCAAGUACUUGCAGUGAUUUAACAUAGAUUUAUUAGAAGACAUAUGGUCUGUGGCUCUAGUUUCUAAUAUCCAAUCAGUAUUAUUGCAAAUUGAUACACAACAAACAAAUUUUAGAUUAGAAGUACCUGUAAAAUCCAUGAGACUUGAAUCAAAAGUAGUCCCACCACAGUAAUCUGAAGCUUUCGUGUUAGUUGUAAGAAUUGUCUUUCCCUUGCUCAGCUUUGUAACCUCUUAUUGACUUGAAUUGAGCAUUGCACUCAGUCCAACAAUCUUCAUUGUGGCAUCAGAUAUCUCGAAAGGAUUGUCCCCUUCAUAAUAAGGUCCUUCUACAGCUGCCACUACCUUAUCUAUAUUCCUUGUGUUUCUAUCUUGUCUAGAAGACUGUCCUCCAAUCUUGUUCUUGGGCUUAUACCACUUAGGAUAGCCUAUUAGUUUGAAGCAACCCUCUCUGACAUGACCAUUCAUGUAAUACCCGGCUAGACUCCGGUAUCGGAAUUCCUACCGUCCGGUGGAAUUUCGGGUGUCGGAGACCUCUAGAAGGGUAAAAUCGUGUUUUUAUAAAAUGUUUUAAUGUAUUUUAUGGUUUUAAUCAAGUAAGAAAUGAGUUUUUGCAUGAAAAAUAAUCUUGGAGGAAGACCCAGGUUUGGCCGCCGAACCUCAAGUUCGGCCGCCGAACAUGCAUGCACUUCGGGAGUGCUUUAGGCCCCCGAAAGCAUAAGUGAGAGAAGUUCAGGUUCGGCCGCCGAACCUUAUGUUCGGCCACCGAACAUGGCAUGCAUGCGAAGGCACGUUCGGCUCCCGAAUGUGGCCUGGCCAGCCACCUAUAAAGGGGUCCCUUAGCCGAAAACGGGCGAACUUUUCUCCCCAUUUUGGGCCAAGGUGAGCUCUCCGCCGUCCCUCACCGAUCUUGAGUUUCUUCCUUCAAAUCUUUCACGAUUUUCACAAGUUUUUACUUUGUUUUGAAGAUUUUCGAGUAUAAAGCAAGUUUUGGAGCUUUGAGGUUCAAGAAACUCAAUCUCUCCCAUCUCCAAGCUAGGGUCGUUUUUGGAAUAAACUUUAAGAUUUAAAACAAAUUAAUGAAAUGUUUUAGCAUGAUUCACGCAUCAUGAAUGCCAUGAGAUAUAUUAGGUUGUUUGCAUUAGAAUUCACGAAUAUGUUGCAUUGAUGUGGAUGAAUGUUGAAUGAUCCAUUAGCCCUUGGAUGUCAUGAUAGCCUAUGUGAGUCCAGGUGUGCCUGCUACGGCUCUACGCCCCUGGCAUUAUGACAGAUUAUGGAAGUCCGGGUGUGCCUGCUACGGCUCUACGCCCCCGGUAUGUAUAAGUAAGAAAGAUAGGGGCUAAAUGGUGACAAGUUCAUCCUUGUUGUGAAAUGUUUGUGUUAUGGCGCAUACAUGAAAGCAUGAUUUAAAUUGAUGUUUUAUUAUUCUGCUCACUGGGCUCUAGUAGCUCACCCCACUCCCUUUAUCCCCAGAGUUGCAGGUACAGGAUAGAUCAGGAAGUCGGCUAGAGUGAAGUUAAGUCAUGUAUGUUGUAAUAGAUAGUAGUGGACAUGAACAUGAUGUAAUGAGUACUUAUGACCAUGUAAUGUAAUGAAUGAUUUGAUGAUGUAUUGAGGAUUAUAGUAGUGCUUGACCUAGAGGUGUGUGAAUCCCCAUUAUGUACAGAAUGUUUAAUGAGUAGUGAUGUUAAUGACCAUGAUUAUCCAAGCUGAUAUGUAUGAUGAUGAUACCCCAUUGGAGUAUUUGAUGAGGACUUCAGUGUGGGGUUCAUAUGUGAUUUUGUGCAUGCACAGGUUUUGCUUGGAUAAGAGAAAAGAAAAUUUUUUUACAGAUCAUGUAUAUGUUGUUAUGUAUGGGAUUCCAUAGGUUUUCAGGAGGUAUGUAGGCUUGCUACGGGUCCCGGCAGCCUUAAGCCGAUCUGGAUCCUAGCGCCGGUAACGGGUCGGAUUUCCGGGUCGUUACAGUUUUCCUCUCGAUCUUCAAGAGGUAAGGGCCGAUCUUGAGCUCACUAUAUGUUUUAAACAAGUUUUAAGUUGUUUCAUGAAGUAGAAAUGCAUGUUUAGGUUGUUUUGAGUUUAUGGGUUUAAUGUGUGUUCUUGAGCAAUGUGGGUAUGUUUGAUGUGUUGUAGUUGGGGUUUAGGCUAGUUUGAGACCCCUAUGAACUUGUAUGCUUGAUUGUGUAUGAUUGGGAGUGUUGUAGAAUAGGUUUAUGCAUAUUUGAAAGGUUUGGGAGGCGUUUGUGCAUGUUGGAGCUGAGUUUCUGCCACUUUGGAGAAACUCAGGUUCGGCCGCCGAAGGAACUUUCGGCCGCUGAACCCGCUUGUGGAGGCAGCCUUCGGCUGCCGAAGCCUGCCCCCGAAAGAGGACUUUCGUCUCUGGAGGGCAGUUUCGGCCGCCGAAAGUGCCGCCGAACAUGCAUGAGUUUCGUCUCUGUCUGGGAGUUUCGGCCGCCGAAGGUGCCGCCGAACCUGCCUGACUUUCGGCUCUGGGGGGACUUUCGGCCGCUGAAAGUGCCCUGUUCAGCCUUCCUUUACAUGUUUUGCAUGAUUGUUUUGAGGUGUUUUAGGGAGUUUUUGGGGUAUGUUUUUAGAGUCAUGUUCUAGUUGUUCGGUCCCUCAUUUGAGUCCACCUGUGUAGGUUCGGACCCGAGGAACCGAGGACCCCAGCAGUGAGUCAGCUGCUUCAGUCGUUGUCAGAACUAGCCAAGAGGUGAGUAGAACUAAACUUAAUCUUUAUUUUAUGAAAUCAAAUGCCUAAAGCAUGUUCAUGCAUCAUGAUGAUAUGUAGUAGGUUGCUUGCACUAGUUUCACGAAUAUGACGCAUUGCAUAAUUUGAUGACUAUGAUGAUGUGGAUGGACCAAGGCGACCCCAAUAGUCCUAGAGCUGUUGUAAGACCUGGCCGGGCCGGGCAUACAGAUGAUGUAAGACCUGGUCGGGCCAGGCAUCCAGAUGUUGUAAGACCUGGCCGGGCCAGGCAUACAGAUGUUGUAAGACCUGGCCGGGCCAGGCAUACCGACCCUGGAGGAAUUUUUGGUGGUCAUGUCCAUCCUUGAUGUGAAAUGUUUGUGCUGUGUUGCAUUCCAUCAAAGUAUGAAAUUUUAAUAUGUGAUUUAAAUGUAUUACUGUUUUGCUCACUGGGCUCUAGUAGCUCACCCCUCUCCCUAAUUCUCCAGGUUUGCAGGUACGGGCUAGGCAGAGAAGUCAAGAUGAUUGAAGUCAUGUGUAUGUAAUAGUUAGAAUGUGGACAUGAUAAAUUGUAAAAUGAUGUAAAGUUAUGAAUAGUUUUGUCAUGUAAAUGUUGAUUUUGAGAUUGAGGUUUAGAAAUUGUGCUUGACCGAGAUUGUAUAGUAAUCCCUUUUGUAAACAUGAUCUAUGUUUUAUGAUGUUUAUAUUCCACCAAGCUUGUGUAUGAUGAGAUCCCCCAUUGGAGCAUUUGACUAGAGCUCCAGUGUGAGGUUUAUGUUUAUGUUUAUGUAUAUGUUUAUGGGCAUGCACAGGUUGAGCUUGGUAAAAGAAAAGAAAAGUUUAAAUUUUUAUGUAUGUUGUUGAUCAUGUAUGUGAUUAAACAGGCUUUCAAGUUAUAUGUCAGGCUUGCUACGGGUCCCGGCGGCCUUAAGCUGAUCUGGAUCCUAGCGCCGGUAGCGGUCCGAAUUUCAGGUCGUUACAAUUCAUGUCACAAUAAGAGCAAUAUCCUUUCCUGGACUCAACCUUCCUUUGUUUCCCUUCAAAUUGUCCCUGUGUUUUAUUAAGACUAGAGAAUCCAUAUUGUUGCUUAUGUUUCCUAAUAGUUCCUUUUGUGACUCAAAUUUGAGUACCAUGAAAUAUGCCUUAGUCACAGAAGGCAAAGGGUCCAUUCCAAGAAUUUGAUCCCUUACAGGACUGUAAGCAUCAUUAAGACCCAUGAGAAAUUGCAUAAAUUUGUUUCUACUAUUAAUCUCAUAUAUGGCCUUUGAAGUACUAUAGGUAUAGGGAGGCAAGGUCUCCAUAGACCCCAACUCAUUCUAUAGCCUUUUGAGUCUUGUGAAAUAGACUGAUAUAAAGAUGUUUUCUUGCACAAUUUUCCUAUGUAAUUGAUAUAUCGUUGGGCCAUUACAUUCCCCGAACCUUUCAGUGAUUUUGAGCCAGAGGUCAUGAGCCGAAACUAUGUGGAUGAAGCCAUCUACAAUGUCUUUGGAUAUCGAGUUCAGUAUCCAAAAUGUGACUAUAAAAUUACAUUUUCUCCACAGCUCAAACUGUUUGAAGUUCCUAUCUGGCAUAGUUAUAGUGCCUUUUAUAAACCUGAUCAAGCCAAAUUUAGACCCAUUUUUCAUGUUGUUAUUAAUGUUAAUUUACACAUUUUCUAUCUAAUUUUGUGGUUUUGAUAUUAUUUUUCAGAAAAUAGUGUAAAAGGGUAAUUUGGCAAAAAUGACCUUAAAACUGCCCAAAGGAGAACAAAUGAGAUCAAGUCUAGUUUGCCCAAGACCGUUUGCCCAAACAAAAUUGAAGUAGAGACGCAGGAAAUUCAAAUUUCAAACUUUUGAAGAAGUCUUUCCCUCCCCAAACAUGUGAAGACAACUCAAAUGUAAUACCCGGCUAGACUCCGGUAUCGGAAUUCCUACCGUCCGGUGGAAUCUCGGAUGUUGGAAAUCUCUAGAAGGGUAAAACCAUGUUUUCAUAAGAUGUUUUAAUGUAUUUUAUGGUUUUAAGCAAGAAAGGAAGUGAGUUUUGCAUGAAAAUAACCUUGGAGGAAGACCCAGGUUCGGCCGCCGAACCUUAAGUUCGGCUGCCGAACAUGCAUUCAUUUCGGGAGUGCUUUAGGCCCCCGAAGGCAUGAGUGAGGGAAGUCCAGAUUCGGCCGUCGAACCUUAUGUUCGGCCGCCGAACAUGGCAUGCAUGCGGAGGCACGUUAGGCCCCCGAAAGUGGCCUAGCCAGCCACCUAUAAAGGGGUCCCCAUGUCCGAACGGGUGAGCUUUUCUCCCCGUUUUCGGCCAAGGUGAGUUCUCCGCUGUCCCUCAUCGAUUUUGAGCUUCUUCCUUCGAAUCUUCAUGAUUUUCUUAUGAGUUUUUACUUGGUUUGAAGUUAUUUGAGCAAAAGAGCAAGUUUGGAAGUUUGGAGACCAAAGAGUUGAUUUCUCCCCAUCUCCAAGCUAGAAUCGUCUUUCCUCUCGAUCUUCAAGAGAUAAGCUUAGAUCCAACCUUCCUUGUAUGUUUUAAACAAGUUUUAUGAAGAUCUAUGGGGUAGAAGUGCAUGUUUAGGUCAUUGUUGAGUUUAUGGGUUUAUGUUAUGCUUAUGAGCAAUGUGGGUUGUUUGAUGUGUUUUGGUUGGGGUUUAAGUUAGUUUGAGACCCCUAUGUGCUUGUUGGCUUGAGUUUGCUUGUUGUAGACUAGGUAAAUGCAUGAUGGAUUAGAUUGGGAGGCAUUUGUGCAUGAAAGAGGCUGAGUUCUGCCCUUUGGAAGAACUCAGGUUCGGCAGCCGAAGGAACUUUCGGCCGCCGAACCUACCUGUGGAGGCCAACUUUUGGCUGCCGAACCCUGCCCCCGAAAGUGGACUUUCGGCUCUGGAAGGGAGUUUGGCCGCCAAAGGUGCCGCCGAAUAUGCAUGAGUUUCGUCUCUGAAGGGAACCUUUGGCCGCCGAAAGUGCCACCGAAGGUGCAUGACUUUCAACUCUGGAGGGACUUUCGGCUGCCGAAUCUGCCGCCGAAAGUGCCCUGUUCAGCCUUCCUUUGCAUGAUUUAUGUGAUUGUUUUAAGGUGUUUUAGGGGGUUUUCAGGGAGUAUUUUAGAGUCAUGUUCAUGGAUGUUUGGUCCCUCAUUUGAGUCCACCUGUGUAGGUUCGGACCCGAGAAACCGAGGACCUCAACAGUGAGAUAGCUGCUUUAGAGUCAUUAGAGCUUCAGGCAAAGGUGAGUGGAAUAACUCUUUACGUUUCAAAGCAAAUAAAUAGAUUUUGAGCAUGAUACAUGCAUCACGUAUACCAUGAGAUCUACUAGGUUGUUUGCAUUAGAAUUCAUGAAUAUGUUGCAUUGCAUAACUUGAUGAUGAUGUGGAUGGAUAUUGAAUGAUCCUUUAGUCCUCGUAUGUUAUGGUAUGAUGAUGAUACGGUAUGGAAGACCAGUGAGGCCCAUUCUACGCCCCUGGCACUAUGGAAUGUUAUGCUAUGUUAUGUUAUGUUAAGAGAAAGACCAGCGAGGCCCAUUCUACGCCCCUGGCAUGAUUGGACUAUGUAGAGGACUAUUGGUGACAAGUCCAUCCUUGAUGUGAUUUGUUUGUGAUGUGUUGCAUUUCAUGAAAGCAUGAAAUUUAAAUUGAAUGUUUAUUCUACUCACUGGGCUUUAUAGAUCACCCCUCUCCCUUAACCCCCAGGUUUGUAGGUAUAGGGUAGACCAGGAGGUCAGCAGGAGUAGAGUCAUGUUUUAUGUAUUGGAUAGAUGUGGACAUGAUUAUGAUGUAAUGUAAAAGUAUUGUAUAGAAAUGUAAUGUAUUGAAGCUUAUGGAAGUUUAGAGUUGUGCUUGACCAUAGUAUGUUGUUAAUCCCUUUCUAGUACAUGAUCUUAAAUGUUUAAUGAUGAUUAUUGUAAACCAAGCUGAAUGUAUGUUAUGAUACCCUAUUGGAGUAUUUGAUUAGGACUCCAGUGAGAGGUUUUAUGUUAUGAUUUGUGCAUGCACAGGUUAAGCUUGGUGAAGGAAUGAAUGAAUGAAUGAACAAAUGAGAAAGUUUUAAAUUUUUAUGUAAUUGUUGAUCAUGUAUGGGAUUAAGCAGGUAUACAGGAUGUAAGUUAGGCUUGCUACGGGUCCCGGCGGUCUUAAGCCGACCUGGAUCCUAGCGCCGGUAGCGGUCCGAUUUUCGGGUCGUUACAUCAGCACUCUAUCCCACCUAUUUAGGAAGCCAAAUCUUAAUAAGAUUCAAUUGCCUUCAAGAAAAUCCAACUCUAAAUAGGAAAAGAACCCCAUCCAAAUCAAGAAACUUAGGGCAACCUAUUCAGCUAUAAAAAGAGGAUCGAACCAGCAACAAAUGAGCUUCAAUUUUUGGGGAGACUGCACCUGCAGCCGCGCGCCACACCAGCCGGCCGAUCGGCUCCUUCCUCUCCUUCUUUCUGGUUUUCUUUCUUUUAUUUUUAUGUUAGUUUCAGUCAUGAGUGGCUGAAACCCCUUUUUCUAGUUGAAGAUUAGGUGAAACUUCAGUUUGUUUAUAGAUUGUAAGAUCUGAACACAUGUUGUUUAUCUUUUAUUUAUCAAUAUUUAUGCAAUUUCAUGCUUAAUUCUACUGUUGCUUUGUAGUUUAGAUCAAUAAGGCCCAUUGAUUCUUGAUAGCAAAGUAAUAAUUUAUUAGUUUAAGUAGUUUAAGUCCGUAAUUGCUUGAAUUAUUCAAAUACAAGUAACUCUUGGUGUAAAAACCAAGGAGAUUGCAUAAUCUAGCAAAAUCACUAUACGUUUGGGUAGCUAGAAUUAUGUCUCUCUAUUUCUUAAUGCAAUUGACAGUUGUAUGAUGCUAAAAGCUCCAAGGAUGUUCCUUGACAAUUUGUUGAUUAGUGAUUAAUUAGAAAACGUUUCCUAAUUAAUCUGUGCUUAAAGAGGGAUAUGGAGGUGAGAAGCGUCUUCCACCUCCAUAACUAAUUUAUUGAGUCAAAUAAAAGAAUCUAAGUGUCAAUGAUCAAUCUCAACAACUGAAGUGGAUCCAAUUCUUCAACUAUACUUUUCUCAUUAUUGAAUUCUCUUUACUUUAUUAUUUACUUUACUUUAUUGCUUUUAAUUCUAGUUUAGCUCAACAACCUCAAAACCCCAUUUUACUUUAUUUUUAGUUUAUUUACUUGGUCUUGAUAAGAAAAAUAAAUGAGUAUCAAUUUCCUGUGAAUUCGAUCAUUUUACCACUAUUUACAAUUAUAAAAUUGUGGAUAACCAAAAAGGUUAUUUUUUACACAACCGCACAGUCAAUAAACUCUAACUUCUCAUUGGCUCCUAAAGCUAUUUUGAUAGCCUUAUGCCAAGUUCUGAAGUUGGUCCCUAUCAGAGAAGCAAAAACAAAAACCAUACCUGGAUGAUUUAAUGAUUGUAAAGUGAGCGGAUCUCCAAGGGUCUGCACCAUCAUUUUCGAUUUAUCGGACAUCAAAUCUCUUUUCUCUUUGCUCUCUUCACCGUCUUCUUGCAUUUUCUCAAGUAUCGACUAGUAUGCACCACAGAUCUGAAGAGAAUAAGAGAUUCAAAAAGCGCAACUAUUACUGAAACCCUAGCUGUGGCUUUGAUAUCAUGUAAGGAAGCAUCGAGAGAAAGAGGGAGAAAAAAUAGAUUUUAUUGUUUCAAGUAAAAAAUGAAAACAUAUAUCCUGUACAACAGUCAGAAGUUCUUCUUAGAGGGCUGAGCACAAUAUCAAAAAAGUCCCUAUAAUAUUACAUGCAAAUCAAUUAAGGACAAUAAGGAAAAAAAUAAAAAAAAUACAAAAUAAAAUGCAGAAAUACUUCUUCACAAUAUUUUGUCUUAAAUAUAUGUAAUAUUAUAAAAAAUGAUAAAUAUACUCUAUAAUUUUCGUAACAUGAAAUGAUAAGGGACUAAAAUUAAAGUAUGAAGAAUAGUUGGAAUUUCAAGAGGAAAAAAGAAUAAUGGAGGGCCCACUUAUUUUCACGAUAUUUAAAAUGAAAAAAAUUAUUAAUCUUAUAAAAUAUUUAGAUUUUAUUUGAUUGAAAGUAAUUUAAUUAGAAAAAUUUAAAUUUAAAGGAAGUGUUAAAUUUAUAUAUGUUUAUUUAGAUUUUUAUUUAAAGUUGAAGGCAUUUUUUUAAUAGAGAAAAAAUAAAUUAAUUUCCUUAAUGUUAAAUUAUUUUUUAAAAAAUAAGUUAUUUGAAUUAAAUUAUAUAUUUAAUAUUUUAUUUUAAUCACUUUCAAAUUGGAAAAUAUCUUUAGUUUCUUUCCACAGCGUCCCACAGUAGGCUGGAUUCCCAGAUUAUGCUAGUAACCACUCAUCCAAGCUUUGCUAUCACAAGUACAAUUUGUCUUUUUUGGCAAGUCACCUCUUUCAACUCAUAAAAUUUUUACUAAAAGGGUAAUUAAGAUUCGAUCAAAUAAAAUAAUUUAUUUGACCCUUUAAAUUAAUAUAUAAUAAUUAUUUAAAUUCAUAAAUUUUUUAAAAAUAGUCACUUAAUUUUAUAAAUAUUAAUACCAUCAAUUCUCAAUUAAUAAAUUAAAAAAAAAUUAAACAUUUAAAUCUUUAAAAAAUAGUUCAAUAUCCACUGAAAUUCUUAUUGAAUAAAUAAAUUUAAUAAAAAUUAAUUUUAUAAGAAAAUAAUUAAUAUUUUCUUAAUAAAACUUAACUAUAAAACUAUGAAAAUAUAAUAAUUACUAAAAAUAAUUCAAAAUUAAUAAAAAUUAUAAGAUAUUUUCUUAAUUAAUUUACAACAUUAUUUAAAUUUCAUAUCUAUAUAAAAUAAUUAUAUUUAAAAUUUUAAUAUAUUUUAUUAUUUUUUAAUUUUUAUUACAUAUAUCAUAUCAUAAUAAUUAUAUUUUUUUAAAGACAUGUUAAAUGCUAUAAGUUUGGUUUUUAAUUAAUAAUAAAAUAAAAAAAUAUAAAUCGUUUAUAAUUUUCAUUGAUAUAAAGCAUUUUUUAAUUUACUGUUUGUUAUAAAUCUUAAUUUUAAUUUGUCUAAAACUUUUGAAUAACACUUUAUUUAUUUUAUGAAUUUUAUAAAAUUAUUUUAUUUAUUUAUAAAAAUAUAAAUUAAUAUAAAUUAUUUAUAAAAUAAAUUAUUAAAAUAUAAUAUUAAUAUUAUUUAUUUAAGAGUUUAAAUGACUAAUGAUAUUUAUUAAGGAUUUUAUUAUCACUCUAGAUACAAGAAUCUCAGAUGGGAAAUUAAAACUAGAGUCUCCAGAAUUUUCAAAGAAGAACAAAAAUCAAUAAAUCAAAGCAAAAGCUAAACUUUAUCCAUGCAAGCGGAAUCGGAGAAAAUAGUAAUUGUAGCUGUGAAAAGCUUUAUUAGCAUCUCAAUGAUAGCGAUUAAAUCAUGUCUUAUAUAUUUUCGAAACGGCAAAAUAACAGCAUCUCAUUACCCAUUUCACAUGAUUUCGUAGAAUAGAUGGAGCACUAUUAUAUAAUUUUUAUUCACUUUCUCCAUUAUAUAAUUUUAAUUUUUAUUCACUUCACUUUUAUAUAUAUAAUAAAAAAUCUAAUUUUUUAAUUAUAUUAAAUUUUAUUAAAUAUUAAAAAAAUAUUUUAAAAAUUUCUUAAAAAUAAAAUAAAAUUAUUUUGAGACAAUAAUAAAAAAUAAAUAAAUAAAAAUUAUAGAAAGGCGAAAUAAUAAAUAAUUAAUCAACAUGUAUCCUAUUAAUACAAUAUAAAUAGAAGAUGAGGAAAAAAACUAACCCAUCUCUCCCAGCUGGCUCUUCUUUUUUCUCUCUUCUCUUUAUCAUUCUUCCAUUGCCAUGCCUUCCCAAACCCAACAGCUUCACUUUGUGUUGUUUCCUCUUAUGGCCCAAGGCCAUAUGAUUCCCAUGAUAGACAUCGCAAGACUAUUAGCACAGCAUGGCGUGAUGAUCAGUAUAGUCACCACACCUCUCAAUGCUGCUAGAUUUAAAACAGUUCUUGCUCGUGCUGUAAAAUCUGGACUCAAAAUCCAGGUUUUUGAGCUCCAGUUUCCGUUCGAAAUUGCAGGCUUACCGGAAGGGUGUGAGAAUUUUGACAUGCUGCCUUCACUGGAAAUGGGCAAACAUAUGUUCACAGCUAUUAUCGAGCUUGAAAAGCAAGCAGAUAAAUUGCAUGAAGAGCUGAUCCCUCAGCCAAGCUGUAUAAUCUCCGAUAUGUGUGUUACAUGGACUACUAGAAUUGCUAGCAAAUGGAAAGUUCCAAGGAUCUCUUUCAUUGGUUAUAGCUGCUUUUGUAUGUUGUGCGGGCACAACAUGCGUGUUUCCAAGGUUCUAGAGAACAUAACCUCAGAAUCAGAAUAUUUCACUGUUCCAGGCUUGCCUGAUAAUAUCAAAUUUACUAAAGCACAGAUACCCUUCCUUGUGAAUUUGGAUGAACUCGCCAAUCGAAUUCUUGCAGCUGAAAAGGACAGCUAUGGUUUAAUUAUAAACACUUUUGAAGAGUUGGAGGCACCAUUCCUCCAACAAUACAAGAAAGCAGGGCAAUAUAAUAGAAUUUGGUGUGUUGGUCCCGUUUCGCAGUGCAACAAAGACACCUUGGACAAAGCUGAACGAGGUAAUGAGACAUGUAUCAAAGGACAUGAAUGUUUAAGGUGGCUCGACUCCUGGCAACCAGGAUCUGUAGUUUAUGCCUGUCUUGGAAGUCUUCCCAAUAUACCAACUUCACAAUUUACAGAGCUGGGCUUGGGCUUAGAGGCAUCCAACAGACCAUUUAUUUGGGUUGUAAGGGGAGGAGAAAGAUCAAAAGAAAUAGAGAAGUGGAUUUCAGAGACGGGAUUUGAAGAGAGAACCAAAGGAAGAGGUCUUGUGAUGUGCGGUUGGGCACCACAGGUGAUGAUACUGUCACACCCUGCAAUCGGAGGUUUCUUAACACAUUGUGGUUGGAAUUCAACACUAGAAGCAAUAAGUAGUGGCGUGCCUGUAAUCACAUGGCCACUCUUUGCAGACCAAUUUUGUAAUGAGAAGUUAGCAGUGCAGGUACUGAAGAUAGGCGUCAGAGUUGGAGUGGAGGUUCCUGAGAGGGGAGUGGAGGAAGGGCAGAAUGGUGUAUUGGUGAAAAAGGAAGAUGUUGAGAAGGCGUUGAAUGAUUUGAUGAAAGAAGGAGAGGAAAGGGAAGAGAGAAGAAGAAGAGUUAAAGAGCUUGCAGAGAUGGCAAAGAAAGCAACUGAGGAAGGAGGUUCUUCUUGUCUCAACAUCAAACUUCUAAUCCAAGAUAUCAUGCAGCACGUAAAUGAAGAAGCAUCGCCUCCUCCAAUUAAAUAUCCAGAAAAUUCCUAAAGUCCCUAGAAAAAUGUGGUGCUCUCUUCAAGAAGCUUCAACAAGUUUCUUCAUCCGUGCAAUUCUCAUCACCGGCGUAUGCAGAAACUACUGUACCAACUGCUAGUGAGAAUGAAGGGAACACUCGAGUGUGUGAGUGGAUUGUGUUUGAGUGGUGACAAUGUGUGCACGUGAAAACAUUUGUAUACAAUCGGUUACCGUAACAGCCCGAAACCGAACUGCUACCGGCACUAGGAUUCAGAUCGAUUUAAGGUCGCCGGAACCGUAGUAAGCCUGCUAUCCUGUUUGUGUACCUGUGAAAUCUCAUACAUGAUCAUUCUUGUUCUGUCAAACUAUUAAAACUGUUCUGAUACAUGAUCAUUCUUAUUCUGUCAAAUUAUUAAAACUGUUAUGUCCUCCAAGACUUAACUUGUGCAUGCACUGUUUGAAAAAUCUAAACACUUUCGUUUUUUUCCAAUUUAUUCCAAUUUAAUGCAAAACUUUAAAUGGUAAUAAAAUUAUUCAAAAUUUUAAAUUUUGUUACAAUCAUAUUCAAACUUAAAAUUUAAAUUGAGAUAGUGUAUUUUGUUAUAUUAAUUCAUUUUUAUAUAAAGUUGUACUCUCAAUAGUUUUAAAAUUAUAUUAUAUAAUAAAUAUAAUUAAUAAAAUUUUAUAAAUUAUACUUUUAUUAAAUAAUGAUCAAUAUUUAGAUAUAUAUAGAAAGUGCAAGAUCAUUACUUAGAUUCUUAAUAUUUAGAAAAUACUUUUAUCUUUAAAUAAUGCAUACUCUGCUUCCACGUAACUUGAACUGAAGUUAGGCUGGCUGAAAAGAGGAUAAGCAUUCGAACAGAGUUGUUCUAGAUUUUGAGCUCACGGAUAGAGCAAGAAUGAUUGCAUCACUGCUGAGCUAUUUCAUUUUGGCUGCUUCUGCAGAAUGGACAUAUACAGAUUUAAAAUCUCUUCUACUGAAUGAUUGAAGGUCAUGGAGAUUUCAAUCAUAAAACACUUUGAUAAGACUCACCAUAACAUUUCUGGAAUGAAAUUGUCUGCAAAUUCCAUCCACAUAAUCUGUUUCUGCCUGUGACCACGUAGACCUCUCUGUGCAUCCACAUAAUAUUCUAUCACUAAAGUUGUGAACCACGCCAAACAAAAAUUGGCUCGUCUUGGGCUCCUAAAACAUCAGCAAGGCCUAGUUAUCCAGCAAUUUUAAAUACGAUUACGUUUGUAUCAUAAUGAUCAUUACCCAUUUCACAUGAUUUCAUAGAAUAGAUGGAGCUCUAUUAUAUAAUUUUUAUUCACUUUCUCCAUUAUAUAAUUAUUAUAUAAUUUUAAUUUUUAUUCACUUUACUUAUAUAUAUAUACUAAAAAAUUUAAUUUUUUAAUUAUAUUAUUUUAAAUAUAUUAAAUUUUAUUAAAUAUUAAAAAAUAUUUUUAAAAAAAUUCUUAAAAAUAAAAUAAAAUAAAAUAAUAAUUUAGAGACAAUAAUAAAAAAUAAAUAAAUAAAAAUUAUAGAAAGGCGGAAUAAUAAAUAAUUAAUCAAUAUGUAUCCUAUUAAUACAAUAUAAAUAGAAGAUGAGGAAACAAAAUAACCCAUCUCUCCCAGCUGGCUCUUCUUUUUUCUCUCUUCUUUUUAUCAUUCUUCCAUUGCCAUGCCUUCCCAAACCCAACAGCUUCACUUUGUGUUGUUUCCUCUUAUGGCCCAAGGCCAUAUGAUUCCCAUGAUAGACAUCGCAAGACUAUUAGCACAGCAUGGCGUGAUGAUCAGUAUAGUCACCACACCUCUCAAUGCUGCUAGAUUUAAAACAGUUCUUGCUCGUGCUGUAAAAUCUGGACUCAAAAUCCAGGUUUUUGAGCUCCAGUUUCCGUCCGAAAUUGCAGGCUUGCCAGAAGGGUGUGAGAAUUUUGACAUGCUGCCUUCACUGGAAAUGG